GCCGGGGUGGCCGAGCGGCCUAAGGCGACACCGUAUGGCGCUAGGGGCUGCAGGGGUAUAGCUAGUCACCCGUUAUAUCGCGGGUUCGAAUCCCGCCCCCGGCU
Molecule: transfer RNA, 104 nt
Filed under: Sulfolobales archaeon HS-7
Lineage: Archaea; Thermoproteati; Thermoproteota; Thermoprotei; Sulfolobales
Rfam family: tRNA
About the family: Transfer RNA (tRNA) molecules are approximately 80 nucleotides in length. Their secondary structure includes four short double-helical elements and three loops (D, anti-codon, and T loops).
Source: Rfam by way of RNAcentral